This 71-nucleotide microRNA precursor is filed under the name Carlito syrichta (Philippine tarsier). RNAcentral's name for it is "microRNA 199a-1 (ENSTSYG00000026314.1)". It matches the Rfam family "mir-199 microRNA precursor family", at positions 6 to 74 of the family's 80-position model. Rfam says of the family: This family consists of the microRNA (miRNA) precursor mir-199 which appears to be specific to humans. Lineage: Eukaryota; Metazoa; Chordata; Mammalia; Primates; Tarsiidae. The record is from RNAcentral.
GCCGACCCAGUGUUCAGACUACCUGUUCAGGCAGUUCCGAAUGUGUACAGUAGUCUGCACAUUGGUUAGGC